GACGAACGCUGGCGGCGUGCUUAACACAUGCAAGUCGAACGGAAAGGCCCUGCUUUUGUGGGGUGCUCGAGUGGCGAACGGGUGAGUAACACGUGAGUAACCUGCCCUUGACUUUGGGAUAACUUCAGGAAACUGGGGCUAAUACCGGAUAGGAGCUCCUGCUGCAUGGUGGGGGUUGGAAAGUUUCGGCGGUUGGGGAUGGACUCGCGGCUUAUCAGCUUGUUGGUGGGGUAGUGGCUUACCAAGGCUUUGACGGGUAGCCGGCCUGAGAGGGUGACCGGCCACAUUGGGACUGAGAUACGGCCCAGACUCCUACGGGAGGCAGCAGUGGGGAAUGUUGCACAAUGGGCGGAAGCGUGAUGCAGCAGCGCCGCGUGCGGGAUGACGGCCUUCGGGUUGUAAACCGCUUUCGCCUGUGACGAAGCGUGAGUGACGGUAAUGGGUAAAGAAGCACCGGCUAACUACGUG
RNAcentral lists this ribosomal RNA (468 nucleotides) under uncultured bacterium. Its description in RNAcentral is "partial 16S ribosomal RNA". It matches the Rfam family "Bacterial small subunit ribosomal RNA", at positions 28 to 507 of the family's 1533-position model. The record is from RNAcentral.